AUUGAACGCUGGCGGCAGGCUUAACACAUGCAAGUCGAGCGGGGGAAGGUAGCUUGCUACCGGACCUAGCGGCGGGCGGGUGAGUAAUGCUUAGGAAUCUGCCUAUUAGUGGGGGACAACAUCUCGAAAGGGAUGCUGAUACCGCAUACGUCCUACGGGAGAAAGCAGGGGAUCUUCGGACCUUGCGCUAAUAGAUGAGCCUAAGUCGGAUUAGCUAGUUGGUGGGGUAAAGGCCUACCAAGGCGACGAUCUGUAGCGGGUCUGAGAGGAUGAUCCGCCACGCUGGGCCUGAGACACGGCCAAGACUCCUACGGGAGGCAGCAGUGGGGAAUAUUGGACAAUGGGGGGAACCCUGAUCCAGCCAUGCCGCGUGUGUGAAGAAGGCCUUAUGGUUGUAAAGCACUUUAAGCGAGGAGGAGGCUACUUUAGUUAAUACCUAGAGAUAGUGGACGUUACUCGCAGAAUAAGCACCGGCUAACUCUGUGCCAGCCGCCGCCGUAA
RNAcentral lists this ribosomal RNA (501 nucleotides) under uncultured bacterium. RNAcentral's name for it is "partial 16S ribosomal RNA". It matches the Rfam family "Bacterial small subunit ribosomal RNA", at positions 30 to 523 of the family's 1533-position model. The record is from RNAcentral.